AGAACGAACGCUGGCGGCAGGCUUAACACAUGCAAGUCGAACGGUUGUAGCAAUACAGCAGUGGCAGACGGGUGAGUAACACGUGGGAACCUUCCUAGGGGUACGGAACAACUCAGGGAAACUUGAGCUAAUACCGUAUACGUCCGUGAGGAGAAAGUUUUAACGCCCCUAGACGGGCCCGCGUAGGAUUAGGUAGUUGGUGAGGUAACGGCUCACCAAGCCUACGAUCCUUAGCUGAUCUGAGAGGAUGAUCAGCCACACUGGGACUGAGACACGGCCCAGACCUCCGUACGGGAGGCAGCAGUGGGGAAUCUGGACAGUGGGCGCAAGCCUAGAUCCGAGCCA
This 345-nucleotide ribosomal RNA is filed under the name uncultured soil bacterium. RNAcentral describes it as "bacterial SSU rRNA". It matches the Rfam family "Bacterial small subunit ribosomal RNA", at positions 26 to 394 of the family's 1533-position model. The record is from RNAcentral.